This 73-nucleotide transfer RNA is filed under the name Paramuricea clavata. RNAcentral's name for it is "tRNA-Ile". The record is from RNAcentral. Lineage: Eukaryota; Metazoa; Cnidaria; Anthozoa; Malacalcyonacea; Plexauridae.
GUUUCCGUAGUGUAGCGGUCAUCACGUGCGCCUAAUACGAGCAUUGUCCCCAGUUCGAUCCUGAGCGGAAACA